This 245-nucleotide long non-coding RNA is filed under the name Moschus moschiferus (Siberian musk deer). Its description in RNAcentral is "lncRNA (ENSMMSG00000001424.1)". The record is from RNAcentral. Lineage: Eukaryota; Metazoa; Chordata; Mammalia; Artiodactyla; Moschidae.
CAGUGACGCAGACCUAAAGCCCCCGCUUAAAUUGGUCUCUCCUUCCAGUUGCAGUCUGUGGUCCUUUGCGGCUGUGCGCCGGGUCGCUAUUGCCUUAAGGUGGGCGAACUGUACCCAGAAAGGAGGAAGUGUGGAAGCUGACCGCGAUCCUCGACAGGUCUUUAAGUCCGUUGGUGCAGCAGAUUUCAAGGCUGAGAGAGGAAGACUGCUUCUGAUCCCUGCAGGAAGAAGAAGCAGGAAAAAAA